Long non-coding RNA from Hyaena hyaena (striped hyena), 860 nucleotides. RefSeq lists it as uncharacterized. The record is from RefSeq and is a predicted model, not a curated record. The transcript has 4 exons. NCBI's taxonomy places the organism in Eukaryota, Metazoa, Chordata, Mammalia, Carnivora, Hyaenidae.
GGACCAUAACGCGCUUACGUUCGAAGAUUCGCGGCACGUCGAGAGCCACACACGCUUUUUUCCUUUUAUGAGCCAGUCGCAGCCCGAACCCCUCCACGCAUGCGCCGUCCUUCCUGUGUGACGUGCCGCGCUACUCCUUGGGAAAUGUAGUUUUUACUUUGUCACCCUAGUCCGGAGUCCGCAGCUGUACCUUAUUUUAACAAACUAGGGUCUUUGUGUGUUUUCAGUAGCCUCUUAUUUCCCAAAGCCUCUAUAAGAUAAUAAAAUUUUUUUGUGAAACCCCACGUUUCUCCAAAAGAUAAAUUCUAUUUUUAAAAAGUUUUAAUAAACAUCUGUGGACGCAGAAAUAGCACUUUUAAGGAGUCUUCUCAGGACCAUAUUAAGGACACACCCACAUUGUAAUUAUUUGGAUUGUGGUGAUGGACAUUUAAAUCGCCUCCAACUACUGGCUACAAGAGAUAACAGCACAGUGAACAGUCUCAUGCCUGCCCUCUUGUGGCCAAUAGUUCCAUUGCUGAGGACAAUCAGUGCUCACACCUCUCCCUCCUCUUUGCUUUCUUCCUGCUCAGAACUGACUCUGUGCAUGGGGGCUUCUGGCACCUUCUAUGGAAAAUUCCAAGUCUCUCAAAGGACGGAACAAACUUUUGACCUCUCUGGGAGCAGACAAAGCAACAGCAGAACAACCUAAGGAACAUCUGUUGACAUGACUUCAUGGGCUUGUAAUCAACAGCAUCCACCUUCUCAGAAGGUCCCUGACCCAAAUUUUGCCCUUAAAAACCCUCACUUGUAGGCCAUUGGGGAGUUUGGGACGUUUGAGCACUAGCUCCCCGUUCUCCUGGAUCGCACCACACCAGUAAAUA